UGCGGAGAUACAUGCAUUGGAUGUAUCACAAGACCAAUGGCAUAGGAUUGAUUCUGAUAUUCUAAAAGGAAGGUUCAUGUUCUCUGUUGCUAGUAUUCAGGAUGAUGUUUAUAUUGUUGGAGGUUGUUCUAGCUUGACUCACUUUGGGAGAGUGGAUAGGAGCUCAUUCAGAACUCACAAAGGGGUGCUGGUCUUCAGCCCUUUAACAAAAUCUUGGCGCAAAGUUGCUUCAAUGAGGUAUGCAAGAUCAAUGCCUAUUUUGGGAAUUUCUGAGGUUAGCUCUGAUUUUUCAAUUGUUCAGAGUCAUCAGCAUCGGCAAGAAAGGCAUUUUCCCAGGUCUCGAAUUGGUGGGGUAUCAGAUGUUUAUGAGGAUCCCCAUCGGCUUUCGCUAAGACGUCAGUACAGAAAUGCUUUUGAUGAAAAUGAUACAUCAUUGUUACACGGCAGAAAGUCACACAGGUUCACCAGGCAAAAAAAUGAUCAGCCAAAUGCUAAGGGUUGUAAAAGGUUUGUGUUGGUUGCUGUAGGAGGUCUUGGAUCUUGGGACGAGCCUCUGGAUUCUGGAGAAAUUUAUGAUCCCAUAUCAAAUAAAUGGACAGAAAUCCAGAAGCUGCCCAUAGAUUUUGGGGUGGUAUGUUCUGGGGUUGUAUGUAAUGGGAUUUUUUAUGUUUAUUCUGAGACAGACAAGCUCAUGGGAUAUGACAUAGAAAGGGGCUUCUGGAUUGGAAUCCAAACCUUCCCAUUCCCUCCCCGUGUUUAUGAGUAUUACCCUAAACUUGUAUCUUGUAACGGUCGAUUAUUCAUGCUUUCAGUCUCCUGGUGUGAAGGAGAUGGUCAAAUAGGCCAGAGGAACAAGGCUGUUAGGAAAUUGUGGGAGCUAGAUCUUAUGUAUCUUACCUGGACCGAAGUGUCAGUACAUCCGGAUGCUCCAAUGGACUGGAAUGCUGCAUUUGUUGCGGACAAAAACCUUAUAUUUGGGGUGGAAAUGUUCAAAAUAUUUGGUCAAGUGUUGGACUUCCUGACUGUAUGUGAUGUGUCAGAGACAGGGACGAAAUGGAGUCAUAUUUCAAGGAAUCACAUGACUCAUGAAUUGGAUGCUUCUUCAUGUAUUACUAAAUCACUGGCCGUGCUGCAUAUGUGAAGUCCCUUGAUUACUCUGAUUGGUGAAGAAAAUUUUACGUUUAUUAUCACGUGGGGAUUUUGAGCAUAGAUUGUGACUCCGAAUUUCAUUCUUGGGACUUAAUCAGUUUGCACCUGGGCAGUUUAUUGUGUCUAUUUUUCUUCACUGC
This 1289-nucleotide unclassified non-coding RNA is filed under the name Hevea brasiliensis (rubber tree). The record is from RNAcentral. Lineage: Eukaryota; Viridiplantae; Streptophyta; Magnoliopsida; Malpighiales; Euphorbiaceae.